Molecule: long non-coding RNA, 543 nt
Filed under: Mytilus galloprovincialis (Mediterranean mussel)
Lineage: Eukaryota; Metazoa; Mollusca; Bivalvia; Mytilida; Mytilidae
Source: RNAcentral
AAAAAAAAAAAAAAGUUAAACGAGAACUAUUUAAGUUCUUAAAGAAUACGUAGAUAAAGAAUCUAUAGUAUGUUGGUUUUUUUUAAUACUAAUGCAUUUUAUUACAAGUGUGGUUGAUAUAGAUAACAAACAAGCAGCCCAAAAAGAAAAAAAAAAGAAAAAUAGAUAUCCACAUAUGUAUAGUACACAAAAAGUUGGAUCAAUUAAAUAUAUAAUAAUUAGCCAAAAAGAAAGUAGAAAUUAAACAUGUCAAUGACUCAUCCUGUGUCAGCAGCAAAUAGGAAAGCCUUAUGGUUUCCUAAAGGCAGCUGACACCAGGGGACGAUACCUUAUGGGCCAUAGGCAUGUAAAAUGUGUGUAAAUGUCUCUUUCCUACCUGUAUCAAAAGCAAACAAGGAAGCAUCAUAGGUAACUUGAAUGCAGUUGAUACCAGGGACGAUGCCUCAAGGAUAUAAGAGAACAUUUGAAUAAAUAAUAUAUCUUAACAAUUAUUUUUUUUUUAAUCGGCUAGUAUGUUUGUGAUAUUCAUAUGAAUAUAAUUUU